AUGAGGGCGUUAUUCUGGAAUAUUAGGGGGUUCGGUGCUAGGGGGUGCCGUGACCAACUUAAAGAUCUGGUUCGUUCUAACUCUAUUGACUUUGUGGGGCUGGUAGAAACCUUCAAGGAAUCCUUCUCCCCUAAUGACUUUUCUGCUAUUGUGGGCAUGGACAGAUUUAAUUGGAACUUUUUACCUGCUUCGGGGCACUCUGGUGGGAUCUUGAUAGGCUCCAAUAAAGAUAUUUUUGAUUUUGUUACUUUUGAUCAUGGGAUCUUUUGGGCCAGUGUUGUUCUCUCUCAUAAAGCUCAGAAUACUCUUUGUGAGUUUAUCAUCGUCUAUGGGCCUGCGGACCAUUCCUUGUCGCCUUUAUUUCUUAAUGAACUUUCGUUGAAGAUCGAUGCUUGUAAUUUACCGAUGGUUAUUGGGGGAUACUUUAACCUUCUGCGGUGCCCUAAUGACAAAAGUAAUGAUAACUUCUCCUGGCCGCUGGCUAAUGCCUUUAACGACUUCAUUAGUGCCAAUGCUAUUCGUGAGCUGCCUCGGGGGGGGGGGGAGCUCGUUAUACCUGGUCCAAUCAUCAGUCAAUCCCUAUUAUAUUAG
Molecule: ribosomal RNA, 591 nt
Filed under: Triticum aestivum (bread wheat)
Lineage: Eukaryota; Viridiplantae; Streptophyta; Magnoliopsida; Poales; Poaceae
Description: partial small subunit ribosomal RNA
Source: RNAcentral